Tarenaya hassleriana is the source of this 1221-nucleotide RNA transcript. It is a transcript of the gene named probable pectate lyase 20, with no coding region annotated. The transcript has 5 exons. NCBI's taxonomy places the organism in Eukaryota, Viridiplantae, Streptophyta, Magnoliopsida, Brassicales, Cleomaceae. The record is from RefSeq and is a predicted model, not a curated record.
CCUAGGAGCGUGCGUCACUCGUCUCUGCUUCUUCUCCUUCUUUCUCUCUCCUGUCGCCGAGCUCUGUUUGGACGGAGGGAAAGUGAGAGAAUUUCACGACCUAGCCAGAAAAAGUACAGAGAGAGUGAGAGAGAAGGAGAAGCUGCAAUGGCGUCGUCGUCUCGGAAAUGGACCAGUGUUUUCCUCGCUGUGCUCCUCGUCCUUGUCAUCUGCGCUCUGGCAGCGAAGAAUCUCCAAAACAACGAAAUAUCUCGCUCCAGGUCUCUCUCUCUCCUUCUGUCUCCAUUGAUGUUCAUUCUCUCUCUGAUGGUGAUGCAGUGUCCAUUUUCGGGUCAAGCCACGUCUGGAUUGAUCACAACUCCCUCUCAAACUGUGCCGAUGGACUUGUCGACGCUGCCAUUGCCAUUUCCAGGUCAUGUUGCUAGGGCACAGCGACUCGUACACAAGGGACAGGCAGAUGCAAGUGACCAUUGCUUACAACCAUUUUGGAGAGGGACUGGUCCAGAGGAUGCCGAGGUAAAACCUGAUGUGCAGGCACGGGUAUUUUCAUGUGGUGAACAACGAUAAAACAUACUGGGAGAUGUAUGCCAUAGGUGGAAGUGCAGAACCCACCAUCAACAGCCAGGGGAAUCGAUACUCGGCACCCGAUAACCGCUUCGCCAAGGAGGUGAGAAGAGGGUAGAGAUUGGAAGGGGUUUUUAUCAAAAAUACCCCUAUUAUGCUGCAAAGAAGACUUCAAGGCAUACCCCUGCAAAAAUAAAAAUAAAAAGGUUUUAAAGGGUAUAUCAUGAAGUCUUUGUAGCAAAGUAAAGGUACUUUUGCUAUUUUGCCGAUUGGAAGAGAUGGAACUCGAGGUCGGAAGGAGACCUUCUACUCAACGGAGCAUUCUUCAACCAGCUACGCACGUGCGUUAAGCUUGACGGCUAAGCCUUCGUCCAUGGUCGGGACUAUAACCUCUACUGCCGGAGCUCUCCACUGCCAAAAGGGCAGAACCCCCUCCACACUCUAAAAACAUUUCCUUACAUGCACACUGGUUUUCUUCUUCUUCUUGAGUUUUUGUUUUCUUUUUGGUUUCACUGGUUCAACCUUAACCUUGUGGUAGAGAGGAAGGUAGCAGCCUCUGGCUUUUGCUUCUCAGUAGGAAAGGUGGAACAUUUUCCAACGUUGUACGAUGAGGAGGAGAAGGCGCAGAAGCGUUGUUCAAUUAGUUUUUAUGUUGUU